RNAcentral lists this ribosomal RNA (253 nucleotides) under uncultured bacterium. RNAcentral describes it as "partial 16S ribosomal RNA". It matches the Rfam family "Bacterial small subunit ribosomal RNA", at positions 524 to 776 of the family's 1533-position model. The record is from RNAcentral.
UACGAAGGGGGCUAGCGUUGCUCGGAAUCACUGGGCGUAAAGCGCACGUAGGCGGCUUGUUAAGUCAGGGGUGAAAUCCUGGAGCUCAACUCCAGAACUGCCUUUGAUACUGAGGAUCUUGAGUACGGGAGAGGUGAGUGGAACUGCGAGUGUAGAGGUGAAAUUCGUAGAUAUUCGCAAGAACACCAGUGGCGAAGGCGGCUCACUGGCCCGUAACUGACGCUGAGGCACGAAAGCGUGGGGAGCAAACAGG